AAUAGAAUAUGUAUUUCGGCUACGGGCGAUAUUCUAGCAGAGACUUCAGCAGCUCCCCCUCGCUGCCGGCGGUCUUCAUCCACCAGGCCGUCAGCCACAACGGGACGACCACCACGUCUUCCGGUAUUCUUCCAACUCCAACCACGUGGCAGCGCGCAGCCACACACGAGUAGGCGCAGCCAACUCCUCCAGACCUCUCCGGCUGGGCGCCGACGAGCUUCUCUUUCCGCUCUCCCGACUCUUCCUUCACAUUUAGGAAGAAACAAGCUUCUGCUUCUCUCAGAAACCUAGCUUCUGCUUUAGUGCUUCUCCAUUUUGUUUUGCGAAGCGUGGCUGUCCUUGGUUGUCUGCUCAAGGAUUUUCUGUGCCAACUGCUUACUAGAACGAUAGAAGUAGAAGUCCUCUCCUCCGAUAUCUUGAUUUCAACUCAAGGAAAAGCAGAAAAGAAAAUCACGGGCUACCUUUUGGGAGAGCAAUGGAGAUCGACAGGGAAGAUGGACGUACACCGAAUCAGCUGAGACCACUUGCUUGUUCUCGCAACAUACUGCACCGUGCUCAUGGGUCAGCUAGUUGGACACAAGGAGACACAAAAGUGCUUGCUGCUGUUUAUGGACCUAAAGCUGGAACAAAGAAGAAUGAGAA
Non-coding RNA from Carica papaya (papaya), 642 nucleotides. The record is from RefSeq and is a predicted model, not a curated record. NCBI's taxonomy places the organism in Eukaryota, Viridiplantae, Streptophyta, Magnoliopsida, Brassicales, Caricaceae.